Molecule: ribosomal RNA, 251 nt
Filed under: uncultured prokaryote
Description: partial 16S ribosomal RNA
Rfam family: Bacterial small subunit ribosomal RNA
Source: RNAcentral
ACAGAGGGCCCGAGCGUUAGUCGGAAUUACUGGGCUUAAAGGGUGCGCAGGCGGAUCGGCAGGCAUCUUGUGAAAUCCCCCGGCUCAACCGGGGAAUUGCGGGGUGAACCGCCGGUCUUGAGGCAGGUAGGGGCCAGUGGAACCAUGGGUGGAGCGGUGAAAUGCGUAGAUAUCUAUCGGAACGCCGAAGGUGAAGACAGGCCGCUGGGCUGAUUCUGACGCUGAGGUACGAAAGCGUGGGGAGCAAACGG